UACGUAGGGGGCGAGCGUUGUCCGGAUUUAUUGGGCGUAAAGGGCUCGUAGGCGGUCUGUCGCGUCGGUAGUGAAAACUCAGGGCUUAACCCUGAGCCUGCUUCCGAUACGGGCAGACUAGAGGUAUGCAGGGGAGAAUGGAAUUCCUGGUGUAGCGGUGAAAUGCGCAGAUAUCAGGAGGAACACCGGUGGCGAAGGCGGUUCUCUGGGCAUUACCUGACGCUGAGGAGCGAAAGUGUGGGGAGCGAACAGG
This 253-nucleotide ribosomal RNA is filed under the name uncultured bacterium. Its description in RNAcentral is "partial 16S ribosomal RNA". It matches the Rfam family "Bacterial small subunit ribosomal RNA", at positions 524 to 776 of the family's 1533-position model. The record is from RNAcentral.